AUCCACAGCCAUCUUACUCUGCAGCCCAAGACUGGUUACUCACUCAAGCUAAGCAGGCCUGAACCUGGCCAGUACAUGGAUGGGAGACCACAUGGGAAAACUAGGUUGCUGUUGGCA
This is a ribosomal RNA of Danio rerio (zebrafish), 117 nucleotides long. The record is from Ensembl. NCBI's taxonomy places the organism in Eukaryota, Metazoa, Chordata, Actinopteri, Cypriniformes, Danionidae.